Molecule: long non-coding RNA, 2571 nt
Filed under: Capsicum annuum
Lineage: Eukaryota; Viridiplantae; Streptophyta; Magnoliopsida; Solanales; Solanaceae
Description: long non-coding RNA (CANN_LNC002508)
Source: RNAcentral
GAUCUGAAUCUUUUAAGUUCAAUUUUGAAUUAAUUGGAUUUUCGGUUGAGUUUUGAGCCUUUUCGGAUGAUAUGACCUUGAAAGUCAAUAUUUAAGAAAUUGGGAAAUAAAGGACGAGAGCCAAUGAAAUUAUAAUGCUUGGAGGGUGUAGAUUAAUUCCACAAUUAAUGAGCCUGGACAGUGGAGAUUAAGCUUGAUAGCUCAGUGUUUAUAACUCCUAACAGAUCACAUCUGCAACUUAACGAACUUAGUUGUCAAGACUUGACGUCAAAUUGAUCAAUAUACAAAUUGAAAAUAAAUGAAACAGUGGGUUUUCUGGGCAGUUUUCUGAUUUCUAGUCAAAAAUGGUAAAACGGAUAUUGAGUACAAGGAAUUGAAAUGCUGAAUUAAUCUAAUUAAUGGGUAUUGAGUACUAGAGUUGUGAUUCCCGUUUACAAUUAGUAUUGCCUUAAAGUUUUGGGAUACACACAGGACAAUAUUUUCAGUAACAUUUGAGAUCAUGCAAUUAUGCAACAAAAUCAGAACAGGAUUGUACAUUUCAGAAGUUCACAACCUUCAAUAGUAAAGGUUCCCCUUGCAACAACUACACUAGAUAAUAAGAAUCUACCAGUUAAGCUUCCUACAUCACUAAUAUUUACUGUUUCACUAGGAGCAAUGCAGUUGUUGAAUUUUUUGGGACAAGCUGCAUUUUCUGCUUGAACUCCCUACACAAACAAAACAUUUUUUCAUCCAGAAUUCCUAUAUCAUGAAAUCCAUAACAAUGUAAAACAAAGCUAAUUUUGGAUGACUUAAUGUAGUACCUCCAAAAUCAAAACUUAAUAAUAUUGCAACAGUAAGUUCAAGAAUUUCAAUUUCCAUUCUUCUGAAAAUUACAAUCAAGAGCAUGCCACCACCAGUUAUUUCAAUGUUCAUAGGAGACAUGAUAACCUUUAUCUCUGCCAUCUUUUGAAUUUGUAAAGCUAUCAUGGAUCUUGACGAUGUCCCCACGUCCACAUUUUGCUCCUUCUUUGCACUGUCUGACUACUCUAGCAUAGCUUCAAUAGAAACAAUUUUGGUGGUAUUUUCCAUGCCUCAACUGUGAUAUCAUCGAUUUAGUCAUUGCCAUUUUCAGCGAGACAUACAACCUCGCUAGAUUUAUCCCUUGGUUCAGAAACUUUAGCACAUUCACUUUCGAUUAAUGCUGAUGCAUUCUCGUCCCAAUUGAUUUCAUAACAACUAGUGUUAGUAGUUUUGCUUCAACAGUUCAAAAUUUAAAAAUAGAAAGCCAAUUAAAUAAAUAGCUGAAAAUCAGAACUCGACUGAAUGAACACACACUUGACUUUAACCUAUCAAGGCAGGCCAAGAAAACCUGCCUAGUAUCAAUCCGAUAACAAAUGUAUAAACCCAGAACAUGUGGGAGAGAAUCAAUAGUUGUAUGAGGAUCAUAAAAUAGUCUCAUGUGUUUAAAUAAAUGUACGUUGAUUGAAAUUCACUAAGGUGUAGAUCUAGAAUGGGUCGUGACAUUAUAAGCACUGGAUAGAUUGAGACCUAUCAAUUUCGGUACCGUAUCUAAAACAGCAAAACCAUAAACUCGUGAAUUCAGAUAUGAUUUUACGAUCGCGGUUUUCGUGGUGUCUGUAGUUUGGAUGGAGUAAAGUUUCACUAGAAUAUCAGAUUCGACCCGUUAAGGACAUUCGUCGAACAUCUGAUCCUCAUUGUAUUCUGAAUCGAUGUUACAACUAUUUACAAUUUACAAACUUUAGCAGUUCAACCAUAAUAUGCUCAUCUGAAAUCACCUGAGCUUGGUUGUUCCCUUCAUUCAUUUCCCUCGAACAGACAUCAAGACAAAAGCAGUUGGCAGUCAACGCUGCGUGCACAUUCAUAGAUGCAAGAGUUGCAUUGGCAAUCAACACUGCAUAUACAAUCUUCAUGCCACCUCUGCAAUUGCUUAACACUCAUAAGUAUUCCCGACAUUCUAUUCGUAAGGGCCCGUUUGUUUGCAUUGUUUCGUUGAAUCAAUUCAGCCAAAGUUGAUUCAGCAAAUAUCUUUUUUGAAUUAUUAUCCAAAGUCGAGAUAGGUUCGUUCCUCUGAUACCAAUUGUCAAGACCUAACCUCAAAUUGAUUAACAAAGAAGUUGACAUAAAUGAAACAAUGCAUUUUUUGGGCAAUUUUCUGAUUUCAAUUCAAAAAUGGUAUAAUGGAUAUUGAGUACAAAAAACUGGAAUGCUGAAUUAAACUAAGAUAACUACGAUACGUGGGACUCCAUUGUUAUCCUUGAAUCUGCAAAAAGAAGGAGUUGAGAAUUAGAUUUUCAGAGAGAGAAAAGAAAGAGACGAGAGAGAAGAAACACGAGAAAGAAGCCUAAAAAUACCAUAAGUUUGUUAUGCUAUAGUUCUGAUCUAUUAGGAGUUAUAAACGGUGAGCUAUCAAGUUUAAUCUCAACCGUUCAAGCUCAUUAAUUGCCAAAUGAAUCUACACCCUCCUCGCAUUAUAAUUUCAUUAGCUCUUUUCCUUUAUUUUUCACUUACAACCCGUUUGCUAGGCUGCACUAACUAGAAUAGUCCUUGAAUUAAAACUUAAUCGGAUUCAAU